CCCCCCCCCCACCGCCGGUCUCCCCUCCUGCCCUCCUCCUCCCUGCUCCCUCACCACCGCCAGGGGGUGCGGCUGGUCUAAGCCCGACCGGCGCCGGCGCCGGCGGGGCCUUCUCUUCCUCCUCCGCGUGAUGGGGGCGGUGCGGGUUCCUCCAUCAAGGGCGGGCGCGGGGCACCGUGGCGUGGCAGCGCGCAGCCCUCUGGCGGUACGUGGCGCUGCAUGGCAGACGGCGUGGGCGGCGACUGGGGUCCGGCUUUGGGUUGCUGGCAGCUGCGGUGGUUCCUCUCCGUCAUGGGCGUGCGGCGGUGGUGUGGCUCGGCCGGUGGCGGUCCGGCGACCUGGUGGUGGUGGCCGACGGUGCGCAUGGUGGUGGUGCUUCCACUUGGCGGCUCUCUGUGCGGGGAGGCAGGGCAACGGCUUCGACAGGGGCGGCGGAGCCGACCGCGUGCCGGCUGCAGCGCGAAGGCGGGAACUUUACGGGUCUCGGAGAUCUCGGACGGGCCUGUGCGGCCACGGGCCUGGUGUGGCCCUCCCGCGUGCCGAUGGUGCUGCUGCCCUAGUCCCGGCUCCUCUUCUUCAUUGUGCAGACCAUGCUUCACGGUGCCAUGGUGAGACAGUGUGGGAAGCUUCGUGGCCGGGUUGGCGCAGGGUGAAGGUCUGUUUGGUGGCGAGCUCUGGAGUGCCUAAGUUGGAGGUUGGUAUCGGGAGAAAUCCCUGUUGGCUUGCCCGACAUCGACGCGGUGGCGCUUGUUGGUGCCGCCACACCUUCCUGGAGGGCGUCGGGGCUACCCUUCCUCUCUCCUCACCGCGUAGCGAGGGAAACCCUUGGCAGCAGCGUUGUCAUCGCCGCGUCCCUUCUUGGAGGUGUUGAUUGGUACCGGUGCUUCGGAGCCUCGGAGCUUGGUGGGCGAUCUCCGGUGGGUGCAGCGGUCUCGAGGCUUCUUCGUUUCUUUGUCGAUCUGCCGUUGUCGGCAUUUGUUUCUCUUGUAUUUUCUCUUUCUUUCUUUUGGGCGUGACUGUGCUGUUUCCGCCCCAGCACCUAUCGUUGGAUGUCUCGGUUGGUUGCUUUGUAUACAAAGUUGGGGGAAACCCUUUUUCGGCAAAGUGGCAAUCCUCUGUUCCCUAUGGUGCCUUUUUGUGGUUUGCACUAUAUUGACUUGUGCACUUGUUGUAAUCGCCAGGUUUUCCGUUAUCUGUUGUGGCUCUGUGCUUCCCUACGAGGGAAGCCAAACCCGAAGAAAGUCAUGAUCCAAGUGGAGCGGCAAAUGCUAUGUCCAGACAAGAAAUCCCCUACGCACAAAGCCAUGGCAUUCCGGUCUCUUGACGACUCGGUCGCCCACUGCCAGGCUCUUCCUGCACGCGGAACCAGCACGGCAUGUACCCACGUCACCGACAUAAUUUGAGGCAGCUGCUGGGAAUUCGGCCAGUCCACCUUCAAGCAACAUAAGUCCCUAUGUAGGAACUAGGAACAGCUACAGGAACAUAUACUCUGAAGCUUAAAGCGGCGCUCCGUUCUGCGUCCUGGACUCUGGGACCCUGUUGUUACCUCACGAACGAACUGAAUCUUUGUACCUCCAAUUUUACGACGGUGCAGCAUCCUCAAUGUCCACUACAUUCUAUGCCCCGCCUCUGCUCCUAUGCCUACUCCAUCUUCUACGCCGACAACCUUGCCAUCCACCUGGGUGACCUGGCCAGCAUCCCCGUUGUAAUUUGGUGCCGACACCGGCCGAGAGCCUGCAGGCAGCAGCUCACCAUCCAUGCCAUAAUGUUCUGCGUCAGCAGCAUACUAGGUUGAUUUAUCUCCAAAAGAGCAUGCAACUACUUACCUAAACUGUUAACUGAAUGACUUGUUGACAUACAUGAACACGGAUCCAUUUCCUUGUUAAAGUAGGCACGAUGGUUCGUGCGUGUAGAUGAUAAAUAUAUCGUUGUAUGUAAACACCAAGCCACAACAAAAGGUUUAGAUCGUCUCGAUGACAACUAUACAUCAA
Molecule: long non-coding RNA, 1991 nt
Organism: Triticum aestivum (bread wheat)
Lineage: Eukaryota; Viridiplantae; Streptophyta; Magnoliopsida; Poales; Poaceae
Exons: 4
Source: RefSeq, a predicted model, not a curated record